GACGAACGCUGGCGGCGUGCUUAACACAUGCAAGUCGAACGGAAAGGCCCUGCUUUUGUGGGGUGCUCGAGUGGCGAACGGGUGAGUAACACGUGAGUAACCUGCCCUUGACUUUGGGAUAACUUCAGGAAACUGGGGCUAAUACCGGAUAGGAGCUCCUGGUGCAUGGUGGGGGUUGGAAAGUUUCGGCGGUUGGGGAUGGACUCGCGGCUUAUCAGCUUGUUGGUGGGGUAGUGGCUUACCAAGGCUUUGACGGGUAGCCGGCCUGAGUGGGUGACCGGCCACAUUGGGACUGAGAUACGGCCCAGACUCCUACGGGAGGCAGCAGUGGGGAAUGUUGCACACUGGGCGGAAGCCUGAUGCAGCAACGCCGCGUGCGGGAUGACGGCCUUCGGGUUGUAAACCGCUUUCGCCUGUGACGAAGCGUGAGUGACGGUAAUGGGUAAAGAAGCACCGGCUAACUACGUG
This 468-nucleotide ribosomal RNA is filed under the name uncultured bacterium. Its description in RNAcentral is "partial 16S ribosomal RNA". It matches the Rfam family "Bacterial small subunit ribosomal RNA", at positions 28 to 507 of the family's 1533-position model. The record is from RNAcentral.